Long non-coding RNA from Homo sapiens (human), 892 nucleotides. NCBI's taxonomy places the organism in Eukaryota, Metazoa, Chordata, Mammalia, Primates, Hominidae. The record is from Ensembl.
AGGAAAGACCUUCCGCAAUCCCAUGAAAGCCAUUAGAGCAGAAAUUCUCUCCUGCCCUGUACUUCCUUCCCCACUUCCUACCUUUGAUAGUUGGAAUACUGGCAGGCAUCUCACCACCAAGAGAAGACAAACUAAAGGAUCAAAAGCAACGUACUGAAGAUAGGAGAGCAAAAGAUGAAAAUAACUUGGAUCGUUAGUGAUCCUGAAGGGCCACCAAAUAAACCUUUGGAUGCUUACCUCUAUACUUCCUAUUGACAAAACACUUCUCUACUUCAAGUUUUAUCACGGACCAGGACUGAUCAACUAAAUGCGAAUAGAUGUGUUCUAUAUCAGCUUCCCUAGAACACAAAGCCUGAAUCAAGGAUGAAAGGAAGAUGCUUUUUGGCAAGGCAUAAAUUCAGAGGAUCCAGGAUGAGGACAAAGGCAAGUGAGCUAUGCAAGAUGUAAAAUGAUGUUUCAACAACACAAAGCUGAUUGUUUGGCAGUUGCAUCUAUUUCAUGCAUAGAACUUCUCCAGAUGGACUACCAAGAAACACUGUGCUUCAAAGAAUUUGAUAAGGACUAUGAAAGGAAUUAACAAUGGGGAUAUCAGCAAGAAAUCAGAGAUGAGUAGAAAACAACAUUACAGGAUUUUUUCUGCUGGGAUCCCCUGCCUCAACCUGGCUGUGUCUCUCCAAUGAAGGUCACUGCUCCUCUCAAGACAGCCCUCUCAAGAAAAUUUGCUCCUUCUGGGUCCUAGUAAUCACUCUCUCUCUCCUCAUUCCCCUGGGCCUAGAGGUGGUACCAGCUCCAUGGUUACUAAUCCAGUGUUACUGUACUAUUUCUUGUGGUUUCUAUCAAGCCCACACUUCUGUAAUUGGUUCUUAUGUAAAUACAUUUUCUUGGAAUAUUC